AGGAUGAACGCUGGCGGCGUGCCUAAUACAUGCAAGUCGAGCGGUAAGGCCCCUUCGGGGGUACACGAGCGGCGGACGGCUGAGUAACACGUAGGAACGUACCCCAAAGUGAGGGAUAAGCACCAGAAAUGGUGUCUAAUACCGCAUGUGCUCUUCGGAGGAAAGCUUCGGCGCUUUGGGAACGGCCUGCGCAUGAUUAGCUUGUUGGUGAGGUAAUGGCUCACCAAGGCGACGAUCAUUAGCUGGUCUGAGAGGAUGAUCAGCCAGACUGGGACUGAGAGCGGCCCAGACUCCUACGGGAGGCAGCAGUAGGGAAUUUUCCACAAUGGGCGAAAGCCUGAUGGAGCAACGCCGCGUGCAGGAUGAAUGCCUUCGGGUUGUAAACUGUCUUUUAUAUGUGACGAAUAUGACGGUAGCAUAUGAAUAAGGAUCGGCUAACUCCGUGCCAGCAGCCGCGGU
This 459-nucleotide ribosomal RNA is filed under the name uncultured bacterium. RNAcentral's name for it is "SSU rRNA". It matches the Rfam family "Bacterial small subunit ribosomal RNA", at positions 26 to 521 of the family's 1533-position model. The record is from RNAcentral.